RNAcentral lists this ribosomal RNA (450 nucleotides) under uncultured Rhizobacter sp. RNAcentral describes it as "bacterial SSU rRNA". It matches the Rfam family "Bacterial small subunit ribosomal RNA", at positions 354 to 796 of the family's 1533-position model. Lineage: Bacteria; Pseudomonadati; Pseudomonadota; Betaproteobacteria; Burkholderiales; Sphaerotilaceae. The record is from RNAcentral.
GUGGGGAAUUUUGGACAAUGGGCGCAAGCCUGAUCCAGCCAUGCCGCGUGCGGGAAGAAGGCCUUCGGGUUGUAAACCGCUUUUGUCAGGGAAGAAACGGCCAUCGCCAAUACCGGUGGCUAAUGACGGUACCUGAAGAAUAAGCACCGGCUAACUACGUGCCAGCAGCCGCGGUAAUACGUAGGGUGCAAGCGUUAAUCGGAAUUACUGGGCGUAAAGCGUGCGCAGGCGGUCAUGCAAGACAGAUGUGAAAUCCCCGGGCUCAACCUGGGAACUGCAUUUGUGACUGCAUGACUUGAGUACGGUAGAGGGGGAUGGAAUUCCGCGUGUAGCAGUGAAAUGCGUAGAUAUGCGGAGGAACACCGAUGGCGAAGGCAAUCCCCUGGACCUGUACUGACGCUCAUGCACGAAAGCGUGGGGAGCAAACAGGAUUAGAUACCCGGGUAGUCC